Molecule: ribosomal RNA, 800 nt
Filed under: uncultured bacterium
Lineage: Bacteria
Description: bacterial SSU rRNA
Rfam family: Bacterial small subunit ribosomal RNA
Source: RNAcentral
AGAGUUUGAUCAUGGCUCAGAACGAACGCUGGCGGCAGGCCUAACACAUGCAAGUCGAGCGCCCCGCAAGGGGAGCGGCGGACGGGUGAGUAACACGUGGGAAUUUUCCUCAAGGUACGGAACAACUCAGGGAAACUUGGGCUAAUACCGUAUGAUGCAGAGAUGCCAAAGAUUUAUCGCCUUGGGAUAAGCCCGCGUCAGAUUAGGUAGUUGGUGGGGUAAUGGCCUACCAAGCCUGUGAUCUGUAGCUGGUCUGAGGGGACGAUCAGCCACAUUGGGACUGAGACACGGCCCAAACUCCUACGGGAGGCAGCAGUGGGGAAUCUUGCGCAAUGGGCGAAAGCCUGACGCAGCCAUGCCGCGUGAAUGAUGAAGGUCUUAGGAUUGUAAAGUUCUUUCGCCCGUGACGAUGAUGACGGUAACGGGAGAAGAAGCCCCGGCUAACUUCGUGCCAGCAGCCGCGGUAAUACGAAGGGGGCUAGCGUUGUUCGGAAUUACUGGGCGUAAAGCGCGCGUAGGCGGUUUUGCAAGCCAGAGGUGAAAUGCCCGAGCUCAACUUGGGAAUUGCCUUUGGGACUGUGAGGCUUUGAGGACGAGAGAGGUGAGUGGAAUUCCCAGUGUAGAGGUGAAAUUCGUAGAUAUUGGGAAGAACACCGGUGGCGAAGGCGGCUCACUGGCUCGUUUCUGACGCUAAAGCGCGAAAGCGUGGGGAUCAAACAGGAUUAGAUACCCUGGUAGUCCACGCUGUAAACGAUGGGUGCUAGGCGUCGGCAGGCUUGCCUGUCGGUGCCGCAGCUAAC